GCGCUCGCGCCGCGCCGCCCGCUCGGUGCGUCGGGGCCGCUGGCGGCGAGAGCCGGCGGGGAGCGGCCUCCGGGCCCGGCCGAGCACGACGUGGCUCACACCAGGCUGAGUGCUGCGGGGCCGCGCUCUGCUCCUCUGGCUGCUGCGGGGCCUGAGGGUGGGCAGUGGGGGACACCGAGAUCCCCACCGGCUUCGGCUGUGAGAGGCACGGCCAGAACUGGCUCAGACCUGACCAUAGCUUAUCUGCCACGGCCGGCUGCUCUGGAGGAAUUCCUGCACGUCUUCUGGCGGCAGAACUUCGCUCCGGCAGCGGGGGGACGUCGGAGGGAAUGCUGCGUCCUGGUUCGUGCCAUAGAGAGAGGCGCUGCGGUGCUUUGCACCUGAGCCCGGGGUCCCCUCAGCUCUGCUGGAGGAGGUGAGAGGGCGGUGGGGUCACGCUGGUGGCACUGCCGGGCUCCCCUGGCACAGGGGUGAGCCGCAGCGUGCUGCUGGUGCAGCAGAGGUGUGUGACACAGCAGCAGGAGCGGUGUGAGCUGCCUCUCCGCGUCCCGUCAGCUGAGGAAUAGCGUGGAGGAAUGAAUUCCAGUGAGUUGGAUGAGGAAAAUGUAAACUCUGCGUUCUCGUCGGGCAAACAGCAGUCGUGUAAAUAAACGUCUCUGGGAUUC
This is a long non-coding RNA of Gallus gallus (chicken), 665 nucleotides long. The record is from Ensembl. NCBI's taxonomy places the organism in Eukaryota, Metazoa, Chordata, Aves, Galliformes, Phasianidae.